Molecule: long non-coding RNA, 1517 nt
Organism: Cygnus olor (mute swan)
Lineage: Eukaryota; Metazoa; Chordata; Aves; Anseriformes; Anatidae
Exons: 3
Source: RefSeq, a predicted model, not a curated record
CUCGCCCCCCGGCGCAGGGGGUUGGGGGUCCCUCCGUGGGGAGCCCCGCGCGUUUCCCCGUCCCCUCCGGCCCUGGGAUCGCCGGGUGUCCCGCUGGUGCUGCCCCGCAGGGCCGAGCACUGUCACGACCCGCUGCCGCAAACACGAGCUUGGGCCCUGCCAGCCCACGGAGGGGCUGCGGUGGGGAACUGCUGCUAUCACCAGACCUCCUGGGCAGCUCUAGGCUUCUCCUGCUCACCAGUGCCAGACCCGCGUGGCUCCAUGGUGCUCCCAGGACCUGCUGCCCUGGAGUAUCAGGGGCCAGGGCCAAGCCAGGCACCCAUUUUCUCCUCCCGCAGUCCUACAGAAGACCCCAGUCAGGCCUCUGAGGACAGCCCCAGUGAGACCAGGACACGUGGUGACACCAAUGGGAGCCCACUCUCCCAGCUGAGACCCUCGGCGUCUGCUUCCCACCUCCCUCGACCCAUCCCAGGGCCACCAGGGCUGGGGGUUUGCUCCGGCACGUCCUGGUGCAGAUCUGGGGAGGAGACAUGAACAUCUGUGAUGCCCAUGCUUGCAAGGAUUUCCUGGGCACUGUUGCAUGGGAAAUGUGCAUUUGUAGGACACAGCAUUGUGCUGGGGGUGCGUGUGUCCCUGGGCAUGCAUGAGCACAUGGGCUGAGCACAGCAUGGCAGGGGCCACCAGGCGCAGGAACCAGCUAAAAGCAGCCCUGCAGGGAAGGGGAUGAGCUCAGCUGGGCGCAGGGCACGGUGCAGCCCCCCCGCAGAUGUGGUGGCUCGUGUUCUGCAGUGUGGAAAUCCCACUGCUUGCACCGAGGCUGGUGCAUGUGGGACUGGGGCAUUUGUGUGGGUCUGAAGACAGUGUGGGGAGCCUUCCACUGCCCUCAAGGCCCCGUUGGGCUGGGGGCUGCACAGCCUUCCCGCGGCCACAGCAUUGACCCGGGCGAGGAGAAACGCGCCGAGGUCCUUCUGAGACUGGCAGUUCCACCCAGUAGGGAACGGACACGUUUCCUUGCAGGAACCAACCCAUGCAUUCAGCACACAGGGAGGGCACUAAAAAAGGAGCUGUGUUUAAAAGAAAAAAAAAAAAAAAGUUGCAGUUUCUGUUUUGCUGCUCUCAGCAAGAAAUACGUUUCCAACGUCUCUGCAGGCAGUGAAUGCUGGGUGGUUAUAAUAUUUGUGACCAUAAUGUUCAUCAAUCAUAAGUAUCCAGUAUUUACAUUGCCUAAUACUUACAUAUUCAUUAUUAGGAACAUGACCUUUCAAAACUUCUGUAUAUUAAAACUGUAAACUCAAGCUUUGUUUUCCUUUUAGGCACGCAACAAAAUGAAAGCUGCUUGGGGCAGGCUGCGCUGCUUCCUUUUCUUUUUUUUUAGCUCUUUCUCGUUUCUACUGUUUAAAAACUUGUCUCCUUGUGACCAUGACUGCAGUUUUGAUUCGAUUUUUUUUCCUUCCAUAUCCCUUUCAAGCACUCAUGAAGCCAGAGAACCUGGGAAGCUCGGACAGUGAAGCGAAGGC